GGGCGGAUGGUUUAGUGGUAUAAUUUUCCCUUAGCAUAAUGCAACCUUCGAGUAGCAUUUCCGCAUGGGAAAGGUCCGGGGUUCGAUUCCCCGUUCGUCCA
This 101-nucleotide transfer RNA is filed under the name Trichoderma asperellum CBS 433.97. It matches the Rfam family "tRNA". Rfam says of the family: Transfer RNA (tRNA) molecules are approximately 80 nucleotides in length. Their secondary structure includes four short double-helical elements and three loops (D, anti-codon, and T loops). Lineage: Eukaryota; Fungi; Ascomycota; Sordariomycetes; Hypocreales; Hypocreaceae. The record is from Rfam by way of RNAcentral.